CCACGCCCCAGCGCGCAGGGCGGAGAGCAUCUUCGCCCUGCAGUGACCCCCUUGAACGUCUUGUACCUUCUAAAUAGAGCGCAUCUUGGCUUACGCACGGUCACGUGGUCUCUCAGGAAUCCUGGCAGGUUUGUUCAUGUGGAUGAGAUCUCCACAAUUGGCACCCAAACAGGGACCUGAAGUGAAAGGAGUUGCCUGAGCGACUGGUUGGAGACAAAAGACCGGUGGAACCCAAAAAACAGAGGGACUAUCCAGAAGACAGAGAGCUAUUAACUCAAUUACAGAAAACUCUUUGUCAGCGAACUUUUCGAUUGUUCGUUACUCAUAUGCGAGCUCAUUCAAAAUUGGCCGGACCACUAUCUCAGGGUAAUCAUAAUAUUGAUCAGUUACUUAUUGCUAAUGUUCAACUUAAGGAAGCAACAGAAUUUCAUCGAUUAACUCAUGUUAAUACCAAAGGCCUUAAAGAACGUUUUGGAAUUUCCCGUCGCCAGAGUCAGAUGAUUAUAAGACAUUGUCCGUCCUGUCAGGUUGUCAAUGUUCCCUCUUGGCCUAGUGGUACUAACCCCAGAGGGCAAGCUCCGAACCAAUUAUGGCAAAUGGAUGUUACUCGUAUCCCUGCCUUUGGUCGUCUGGGAUAUGUGCAUGUUACUGUUGAUACCUAUUCUCAUUUUAUUAUGGCCUCUGCUUUAUCUGGUGAAAAAACAUCUCACGUCUGUUCUC
Molecule: long non-coding RNA, 720 nt
Organism: Hippopotamus amphibius kiboko
Lineage: Eukaryota; Metazoa; Chordata; Mammalia; Artiodactyla; Hippopotamidae
Exons: 3
Source: RefSeq, a predicted model, not a curated record